AGACCGGUCAGUUAGUGGUCAAUAAUCGCUACGACAAAGUACGCUACAACGCUACAAACGCGGAAAUUACAAAGUGGCCGAAGUGGAAUACGGUGUUAGUGAUCAGUGACAAGAAGAAAUCAUCCAUCUUUACCCAAGGAGUCGGUGCAAGAGUGCACAAGUGGGAUUCGAUAUAUCCUGACUCUCCCUUUGUCGCUGCACCCAGGAUGGGCGCGCCCCAGCACUAAGAGGGUGGUAGAAUGAGGAUCGGCCUAUUUAUUCCGCCAACACAGAAUGGCGUAAUGGUGGUAGUGAUCACAGUGUUGCAGUAAUCCCACCAGCAGUUAAUUCGGCGUCAGUGGAAUGGACUCCGAUCGGCAUAGUCGGAGCUAUCAGCAUGAUGGAUCGCUGUCCGGACAGUACGAAGCAUGUUUCAACCGCCGUGGGAUAGACAUCGACACUCUGACACACUUCCACACUAGUGUUAAGACAACGUAGGUUAGGGAUGCACAGACAUAGGAGUAAGUAAUAAAACCUUUUUUUUAGUUUUUUAUCCAAAUUUUAAU
Armigeres subalbatus is the source of this 545-nucleotide long non-coding RNA. RefSeq lists it as uncharacterized. The record is from RefSeq and is a predicted model, not a curated record. The transcript is spliced from 3 exons. Lineage: Eukaryota; Metazoa; Arthropoda; Insecta; Diptera; Culicidae.